CCUACGGGUGGCAGCAGUGGGGAAUAUUGCACAAUGGGGGGAACCCUGAUGCAGCGACGCCGCGUGGGUGAAGGAGUAUUUCGGUAUGUAAAGCUCUAUCAGCAGGGAAGAACAAUGACGGUACCUGACUAAGAAGCCCCGGCUAACUACGUGCCAGCAGCCGCGGUAAUACGUAGGGUGCAAGCGUUAUCCGGAUUUACUGGGUGUAAAGGGAGCGUAGACGGCGCUGUAAGUCUGAAGUGAAAGCCCACGGCUCAACCCCGGGACUGCAUUGGAAACUGUGGCGCUAGAGUGCUGGAGAGGUAAGUGGAAUUCCUAGUGUAGCGGUGAAAUGCGUAGAUAUUAGGAGGAACACCAGUGGCGAAGGCGGCCUACUGGACAGUGACUGACGCUGAGGCUCGAAAGCAUGGGGAGCAAACAGGAUUAGAUACCCGUGUAGUC
Molecule: ribosomal RNA, 441 nt
Filed under: uncultured bacterium
Lineage: Bacteria
Description: partial 16S ribosomal RNA
Rfam family: Bacterial small subunit ribosomal RNA
Source: RNAcentral